GACGAACGCUGGCGGCGUGCUUAACACAUGCAAGUCGAACGGAAAGGCCCUGCUUUUGUGGGGUGCUCGAGUGGCGAACGGGUGAGUAACACGUGAGUAACCUGCCCUUGACUUUGGGAUAACUUCAGGAAACUGGGGCUAAUACCGGAUAGGAGCUCCUGCUGCAUGGUGGGGGUUGGAAAGUUUCGGCGGUUGGGGAUGGACUCGCGGCUCAUCAGCUUGUUGGUGGGGUAGUGGCUUACCAAGGCUUUGACGGGUAGCCGGCCUGAGAGGGUGACCGGCCACAUUAGGACUGAGAUACGGCCCAGACUCCUACGGGAGGCAGCAGUGAGGAAUAUUGCACAAUGGGCGGAAGCCUGAUGCAGCAACGCCGCGUGCGAGAUGACGGCCUUCGGGUUGUAAACCGCUUUCGCCUGUGACGAAGCGUGAGUGACGGUAAUGGGUAAAGAAGCACCGACUAACUACGUG
This 468-nucleotide ribosomal RNA is filed under the name uncultured bacterium. Its description in RNAcentral is "partial 16S ribosomal RNA". It matches the Rfam family "Bacterial small subunit ribosomal RNA", at positions 28 to 507 of the family's 1533-position model. The record is from RNAcentral.